UCCUACGGGAGGCAGCAGUCGGGAAUAUUGCGCAAUGGAGGAAACUCUGACGCAGUGACGCCGCGUAUAGGAAGAAGGUUUUCGGAUUGUAAGCUAUUGUCGUUAGGGAAGAUAAAAGACUGUACCUAAGGAGGAAGCCCCGGCUAACUACGUGCCAGCAGCCGCGGUAAUACGUAGGGGGCAAGCGUUAUCCGGAUUUACUGGGUGUAAAGGGAGCGUAGACGGCCAGACAAGUCUGAAGUGAACAUCCAGCGCUUAACGUUGGAAGUGCCUUGGAAACUACCGGGCUAGAGAGCAGGAGGGGG
Molecule: ribosomal RNA, 305 nt
Filed under: uncultured bacterium
Lineage: Bacteria
Description: bacterial SSU rRNA
Rfam family: Bacterial small subunit ribosomal RNA
Source: RNAcentral